RNAcentral lists this ribosomal RNA (250 nucleotides) under uncultured bacterium. Its description in RNAcentral is "partial 16S ribosomal RNA". It matches the Rfam family "Bacterial small subunit ribosomal RNA", at positions 793 to 1055 of the family's 1533-position model. The record is from RNAcentral.
GUCCACGCCGUAACGAUGGAUACUAGCUGUUGGAAGCAAUUUCAGUGGCUAAGCGAAAGUGAUAAGUAUCCCACCUGGGAGUACGUUCGCAAGAAUGAACUCAAAGGAAUUGACGGGGCCCGCACAAGCGGUGGAGCAUGUGGUUAAUUCGAUGAUACGCGAGGAACCUUACCAAGGCUUAAAUGUAGAUUGACCGUUUUGGAAACAGAACUUUCGCAAGACAAUUUACAAGGUGCUGCAUGGUUGUCGU